Molecule: long non-coding RNA, 134 nt
Organism: Arachis ipaensis
Lineage: Eukaryota; Viridiplantae; Streptophyta; Magnoliopsida; Fabales; Fabaceae
Source: RefSeq, a predicted model, not a curated record
GCAAAUCCGCAUUGAAUACACUAGCCACUGGAUAUAAGAUUCUUGGUGAGGACAUAUGGAGAUUUGUUGGAAAGCUAACAGAUGCUCAAAAAAGCAUGUUAGAUGAGAAAUUUAAGUGGAAGGUUCGCGAGAUG